This 72-nucleotide transfer RNA is filed under the name Marmota monax (woodchuck). RNAcentral's name for it is "tRNA.Cys". Lineage: Eukaryota; Metazoa; Chordata; Mammalia; Rodentia; Sciuridae. The record is from RNAcentral.
AGGGUUGUGGCUCAGUGGUAAGAGCUUGCCUAGCAUGUGCAAGGCACGGGGUUCGAUCCCCAGACCACAUUG